GACGAACGCUGGCGGCGUGCCUAAUACAUGCAAGUCGAACGCUGAAGGAGGAGCUUGCUUCUCUGGAUGAGUUGCGAACGGGUGAGUAACGCGUAGGUAACCUGCCUGGUAGCGGGGGAUAACUAUUGGAAACGAUAGCUAAUACCGCAUAAGAGUAGAUGUUGCAUGACAUUUGCUUAAAAGGUGCAAUUGCAUCACUACCAGAUGGACCUGUGUUGUAUUAGCUAGUUGGUGGGGUAACGGCUCACCAAGGCGACGAUACAUAGCCGACCUGAGAGGGUGAUCGGCCACACUGGGACUGAGACACGGCCCAGACUCCUACGGGAGGCAGCAGUAGGGAAUCUUCGGCAAUGGACGGAAGUCUGACCGAGCAACGCCGCGUGAGUGAAGAAGGUUUUCGGAUCGUAAAGCUCUGUUGUAAGAGAAGAACGAGUGUGAGAGUGGAAAGUUCACACUGUGACGGUAUCUUACCAGAAAGGGACGGCUAACUACGUG
This 495-nucleotide ribosomal RNA is filed under the name uncultured bacterium. Its description in RNAcentral is "partial 16S ribosomal RNA". It matches the Rfam family "Bacterial small subunit ribosomal RNA", at positions 28 to 507 of the family's 1533-position model. The record is from RNAcentral.